RNAcentral lists this ribosomal RNA (491 nucleotides) under uncultured bacterium. RNAcentral describes it as "partial 16S ribosomal RNA". It matches the Rfam family "Bacterial small subunit ribosomal RNA", at positions 28 to 507 of the family's 1533-position model. The record is from RNAcentral.
GAUGAACGCUGGCUACAGGCUUAACACAUGCAAGUCGAGGGGAAACGACGGGGAAGCUUGCUUCCCCGGGCGUCGACCGGCGCACGGGUGAGUAACGCGUAUCCAACCUGCCUCUGACUGAGGGAUAACCCGUCGAAAGUCGGCCUAAUACCUCAUGGCAUCGUCUGCGGGCAUCCAACGACGAUUAAAGAUUUCAUCGGUCAGAGAUGGGGAUGCGUCUGAUUAGCUUGUUGGCGGGGUAACGGCCCACCAAGGCGACGAUCAGUAGGGGUUCUGAGAGGAAGGUCCCCCACAUUGGAACUGAGACACGGUCCAAACUCCUACGGGAGGCAGCAGUGAGGAAUAUUGGUCAAUGGGCGAGAGCCUGAACCAGCCAAGUAGCGUGCAGGAUGACGGCCCUAGGGGUUGUAAACUGCUUUUAGGCGGGGAUAAAGUGAGGGACGUGUCCUUCAUUGCAGGUACCGCAUGAAUAAGGACCGGCUAAUUCCGUG